This 8150-nucleotide long non-coding RNA is filed under the name Arabidopsis lyrata. RNAcentral's name for it is "long non-coding RNA (ALYR_LNC000442)". Lineage: Eukaryota; Viridiplantae; Streptophyta; Magnoliopsida; Brassicales; Brassicaceae. The record is from RNAcentral.
AGGAAUUCUCUCUCGUGAUUGUGCUAAGCUUUCUGCAAGCCUUAGCACCCUAUUUAUACUAAAUAGGUUGAGACCAUACAACAGGUCGAUUUCCAAUUCUAAAACUAAUUGGAAUGGACAAUUUCCUUUUUCUUUAUGGAAUAGGAAAUUGUCCUUUGUCUUCAUGUUUUCCUUUUCUUCUUGCAAAAGGAAACUCUUCAGUCUUCUAGAAUCUUCUCUAAGCUUCUAGUCUUCACUUCAAACCGCCAUAACAAGAUUCUGCAUAUUUCCUUAAUCUUGUUCAUGUUGCUCUGUUCUCUUGAGUUACUUCUUGACUUAGUUCAGGUACUCCUUCAGAAGCUGCAUCUUCAAUCUCCCCCUUUUUAAUCUUGUGUCUCUCAAGCACCUGCAUUUGAAAUCUUCUAUCUUUUGUAGACAUUUUUCAUCUCAAGCAAUCACAAAAUUUAAACACCCGAAGUUUAAAAACUUUUAGCAACAUUGUCCAACACAAAUUAACUCCCCCAGAAUCUGAGAAUCAAGCAACAACAAAGUCUGGAGUUUAAACAAAAUUAUCAAAUAACUACUCCCCCACAACACAUGAACUCCCCCAGAAUCAUAGCCAUACUUCUUUUUCUCCCCCUGCUUGAGAGCUCAAGGUUAAAAACCAAACUUCCUACAAUCUUUUAGACAAAGGAUGACUGAGAACAAGUUGUUGGAUUACUUCAUUCAUCUUGGAGAUAGCCUGAGCUGUGUCUAACAAAGCCAUAAACAUUCCCUCUCUAUCAUCCUCAUCAGGGUGAGGCAGGCGGAUGCUUCCAAUGUCCACAACAGUAUAGCCUUGAUACUCUGGAUUAAACUGAGAAGAAGGUUCCGAGACAUUUUGAGGAGCAGUUCUUGAAGUAUUUGGCUGAGUGCUAGCUUUUGCUUUGCCCUUCAUCCUUUCAGUGUAAGCUUGACCAGUUCUGACAUCCUUUUUGUAGAACUUAGGAGUCACAAACUUUUCUCCAGAAUAGAUUGUCACUUCUUUUUGACUUAUGAGCAUCCCAUAUAUGAUUCGGGGAAACACUAACCAUCUUUCAUCCUUGUUCUGAACAAGUGACAUCACUUGAUUAAAGAUCAUCUUACCAACAUCAAUUAUGAUUCCAUGAAAGAUCUUGUAGAUGAGCUGAGCUCUCUCAACUGAAACAUAAUCUGGAUUAGAGGAAGGAAUCCAAUUCUGAGCAGUGAUUCGUAGAAGAGCUCCAAUUCGAGGAGAAAAAUUCUUGAAUACUAAAUCAUCCCAGCCAGUCUUCUCAUCUUCACUUAGCAGUUCUGCAAGUUGUUCUUUUCCAACAGAAUCAGCAUCACUAUCUGCCUUAAGUUCCUCUUUGGUUAAAUCUUUAAAACCAAGAAAUUUAUUGAUUUUCUUUGGUGAAAACUCAUAGUCAUGCCCUCUGACAAACACACUGACCUUCUCAGCAUUUUCUUCAGACUUUUCACAAGGAAGAUUUGCAUAAAAUUCAGACACUACUUCCCGCACAUAACUUCCAAGAUUUGUCACUGUAGAUUCCAAUCUCGCAUUCUUGAUCAAGGUUAAGUAACCCCAAGAAUCCUCUUUUUCUAAAUCAAUCAGGCGUUCCUCAAUCAAGUUUCUAUUUUUAAACAAAUCAUACCUUGCUCUAGCUUGAGAUGAUGAAAAUAGCUUUGAUCGAAAGCUUUUCUUGGAAGGACUUUUGCCUGAGCCUGAAGCCUUGAUAGAUUUGCUUUUCUUUGAAAUUGGUUCAGCCUUCUUCUGUUUCUUCUUUGGAGGAGCUAGAUCUAGCUGUUUAAAGACUCUUUUCUUACGAGCUUCCUUCUCCUUCUGAUUUUUCUGAAACUGUUCUUCAACAGUCAUUUCAGUUGGUUGAAUCUCAACAUCAGAGACAUGAAUUGCUUCGUCCCUUACUACUUCUUCAGUAUUUUCUUCUUCUUUGUCAGACAAUUCUGGAUCUGCAUGUGGAAAAACUCGAUUUUCCUCUCCUAGAAUCACAGUAUCCUCAGUUGAUUUUGAUUUCUCAGCCGAAAUUUGGUCAGAUCUGAUGAUGUCUUCAUCGAUUUGAGACACCCGUCGACUUGAUUCCUUGAUUUCACCACGAAGAUCCUCAGAUUUUUCAAUUUCUUCUUCUGGCACAGUGUCUGUUGACACAUCCUCUGUAGGUUUGACUCCAUUGACUUGUUCAGAAAGUACCUCAGUUUCUCCAUCAAGCUUCUUUGAUUCUUCCUCAGGUUUCCUGAUUUCCUCAGACUCGUUGCUUUUAUUUUCUUCAUUAGCUGUUGCAAAUGAGUCAUCUUCAUCACCACAAGGAACAAGAGAAGGAGGCGCUGCAAUAGAUUCGUCAAUCAGUUGCGGAUUAGCUUCAACUCCAUCAGAACGAUCUUCUGCAGUUGUUCUUCUUCCACCGAUUGGACCUCUGUUAGUAGCUUUCACUAUUGUCGCGAUUUGAGAGUUUUUCUCCAAGGAUUUUCUUGCUUCUUCUUUUCUUAGGGUUUUCGAAAACUUUUCAUUUCUUUGUUUUGCUCUUCUCCCAACGAAUAUUUUCACCAAGAUUUGAGAAAAUCCUUUUUAUGAUUGCAUAUCCUUUUUUAAAAAAUUCAAAAACUCGAUUUUUGCCAAAAACAAACCGGAAUAAACCAUUCUUGGAACUUCUAAUGUGAUAAACCAAACCAGAAAUUUUGAAUUGAACCGUAUCUUCAUAACCAUAUCAGCUCUCAUGUUCUCUGACUGAGUCAGAUCAUAGUUCACAUACUCCAAGUGAAUUUCUUAAUGUGACGAACCUGUUGAAGUCCAAUGCCUUUGUAAAAAUAUCUGCCAGCUGAAUCUCUGUCCCAACAUGAUCAAUCUUAACCUUCUUUUCUUCAACCAAUUCACAAAUAAAGUGAUGUCUUACAUCAAUGUGCUUGGUUCUUGAAUGUUGCACCAGAUUCUUUGAGAUAUCGAUUGCACUCUGAUUAUCACAGUAGACUUGAAGAACUCUAGAGUCUAUUCUAUAAUCUGCUAACAUUUGCCUCAUCCAAAGUAACUGUGUGCAACAACUUCCCAUGGCAAUAUACUCAGAUUCUGCGGUAGAUAUUGACACAGAAUUUUGCUUCUUACUCAACCAAGCAAUUAGAUUGUUUCCAAGAAAGAAACAUCCUCCGCUUGUACUCUUUCUGUCAUUCACACUUCCUGCAUAAUCAGCAUCACAGUAACCAACCAGAUUUUGAUUUGAGUUUUAUGAAUACCAAAUACCAAGAUCUACAGUUCCUCUGACAUACUUCAGAAUUCUCUUCACAGCUUCAAGAUGAGACUGUUUAGGCUUUGCUUGAUAUCUAGCACAAACUCCAACACUUAGACAUAAAUCAGGUCUGCUAGCUGUUAGAUAUAAGAGACUUCCAAUCAUUCCUCUGUAAGUUUUGACGUCUACAUCUGUUCCAUUUUCAUCUCUUGAUAAUUUCAAUGAGGUACUCAUAGGAGUUUUAGCUUCUUUGCAUUUAUCCAUUUGAAACUUCUUCAAGAUCUUCUUAGCAUAAGUACUCUGUGAGAUGUAGAUUCCUUCAUCCGAUUGAACUAUCUGCAAUCCCAAGAAAUACUUCAAUUCACCUACCAAACUCAUUUCAAACUCUUUUGUCAUGUUCUCUAUAAACUGAUCCACCAACUUCUGAGAAGUACUCCCGAAAAUAAUAUCAUCAACAUAAAUCUGCACCAUCAUGUUCUCUUUGUUUUCUUCAAGAAUAAACAAAGUUUUAUCAACACUUCCUCUGUUGUAACCUUUCUCAAGCAGAAAGUUAGUCAGCCUUUCAUACCAUGCUCUAGGUGCUUGUUUGAGUCCAUAUAGAGCCUUCUUUAACUUGAAAACAUACUCAGGCUUCAUCAUAUCUUCAAAUCCUUUAGGUUGCUCAACAUAUACUUCUUCUUGUAGUAUACCAUUUAGAAAAGCACUUUUAACAUCCAUUUGAUGAACCGUGAAGUUAAGAAUACAAGCCAUUCCCAAGAAAAGUCUGAUUGAUUCAAGUCUUGCUACAGGUGCAAACGUUUCUUCAAAGUCAACACCUUCGAUUUGAUUAUACCCUUGUGCUACCAAUCUUGCUUUAUUUCUGACAACUACUCCUUUUUCAUCACUCUUGUUCUUAAAAAUCCAUUUGGUUCCUAUAAUAUUUGUAUCCGCAGGUCGUUUAACCAAUUCCCAAACUUCAUUUCUUUCGAACUGUUCUAGCUCUUCCUGCAUAGCAAUGAUCCAGAAAUUAUCUUCAAGUGCUUCAACAUGAUUCUUUGGUUCAACGGAUGAAACAAAGCAUUGAAACUGCAAAGUUUCCCAUUCUGCAAAAUUACUUGUCAUCUUCUUGAAAUCAAGCUUUACACCUCUGGUUUUCAUCGGAUCUUGGAGAUCUCCAAUGAUGUCUGAUGAUGAAUGAUUUUUGUGUACCUGAAUUUUCUGAGCUUCUUUGUGACUAUCUUCUUGUUCUACCGAUGAACCAUCCACUUUUUCUUUAACCUCUUUAUUGGUUAUCUCAUCCGGUUCUGUGUCACUUUCUUCAAGUUCUUCACUAACCUUUGACACAUAAUGAUCAUCAAAUACAACAUUAACUGAUUCCAUAAUAGCACACGUUCUUUUGUUGUAGAUUCUGAAUGCUGUACUAGUCUCUGAGUAACCCAGAAACAUGCCUUCAUCACUUUUGGAAUCAAAUUUUCACAAGGUAGUCUUUGUCAUUCAGUAUAUAGCAUCUGCAUCCAAACNNNNNNNNNNNNNNNNNNNNNNNNNNNNNNNNNNNNNNNNNNNNNNNNNNNNNNNNNNNNNNNNNNNNNNNNNNNNNNNNNNNNNNNNNNNNNNNNNNNNNNNNNNNNNNNNNNNNNNNNNNNNNNNNNNNNNNNNNNNNNNNNNNNNNNNNNNNNNNNNNNNNNNNNNNNNNUGUGGAACUUGAUUUCCAUGCAUCAUUGCUCUAGCCAUCUCUUGAAGAGUUCUAUUCUUCCUUUCUACAACCCCAUUUUGUUGAGGUGUUCUUGGAGCUGAAAACUGAUGAGCAAUUCCAUGCUUUUCACAAAAAUCUUUCAUGGACUCAUUUUGAAAUUCUCCACCAUGAUCACUUCUUAUUCUUUUAAUACCUCCUCUCUCAUUGAUAAGCUGAAGAGCCCAUAUUCUGAAACUAUCUGUUGUGUCUGACUUCUCUCGAAUGAAUCUCACCCAUGUAUAUCUAGAAAAAUCGUCUACCAAUACAAACACAUACUUCUUCCCAGCUAUGCUUUCAAUUGGCAUUGGCCCCAUUAAAUCCAUAUGUACCAAAUCAAGUGCUGACUUAGUCUGAACAUCUGGAACUUUCUUGUGCUGCACUUUGACUUGUUUCCCUUGAUUACAUGGUCCACACAUCAUCUUAUCUUCAUCUUUAAGCUUAGGAACUCCUCGGAUAAUUUCUUUGUCAACCAAAGUAGUCAGAUUUCUUGUAUUCAUGUGACCUAGACGUUGAUGCCAUAUAUUAAGGUUGUCUCGUGCAGAGAAACAGUUGGUUGUACGAUUUUCCCACAUGUAACAAUUGUUUCCUGUUCUCUUACCUCCUAGAACAAUGUCACCGGUUUCAUCAAACGCUUUGCAAUCUUCUUUAGUGAAAGUAACUUCUAGACCUUCGUCACACAACUGACUCACACUAAUAAGAUUAGCCUUUAAUCCACGAACAAGAUAGACAUUCAUCAGCUGAGGUAGCUCUACAUCACUAGUUUUUCCUUUACCUUGUAUGUCUCCAUGACCUCCAUCACCAAAAGUUACUUUACCUCCUUUGAUUUUCUUGAUGUCUUGUAAGUAAUCUUUUGUGCCUGUCAUGUGGCGUGAACACCCACUAUCAAAGUACCAAGGACUCUUUUUCUCGCAUUCCUCUGUGACUAACGCCAUGUUGCAUCUAAAACCAAGUCCUGCUCUACUUCCUGUAUCUCUUUAUGCAGUUCUUCUGACUAGAGUUGGAUAUAGAUCAAUUUUCUUUACCCCGAUUUGAGGUUUAUAUCCAUUCCAUGUAAACUUCCUUUGAUACCUGAGUUUUUCCACUUUCUCCCAGUACUUGUAACAAUGAAUCUUUAUGUGCCCAAUCUUUCCACAGAAAUAGCAUCUGAUGCCUUUGAAAACACUUUUUCUUGAUUCAUCUUGUGCAUGAUGAGAUAUUCCUCCAGACACAAACUUGGUUUGACCUGUGCUUGUUUCUCCAUGACCAGUGUACCCUAGUCCUCUGUUUGUUUUUUCCGUCCUUCCAUAGCUUAGAAUCUGAUCUAGUUGUUUUGUUCCAGCAAACAUGUGAAUCUUCCGAUGUUGUUGAUUAAGUUCUGUUUGUAGUUCUGCAGAUAUCUUCCUUUCAGCGAUCAGUUCUUUCUCCAAAUUAUCAGCUUUAGCAGACAAGCUUAGUUUUUCUUUCAUCAAACUCAAACUUUCUUUGCUAAUCUUCUUUUCAUCUUCUAGUUGAUUCUGUAAUAGUUCAACAAGUGAUUCGAGACGUAUCUUUUCUUUCAGCAAAUCUUGAUUUUCUGUUCCAAGUUUAAUCAAAGUUUCUCUCACCUCUUUGUAACUUUCAACAAAAUUCACUUGUUGUUCUUCAUCUGAUUCAGAGUCAGUUUCUUCUUCACCUUCAACAAACUCAGUAAUGCCUAUCAAUGCUACAUAAUUUAAGAUGUCUUCUUCCUCACUCUCUUCCUAAGAUUCUUCUUCAAUACCAAUCAUUGAUUUCUCUUUUCGACUACUGAUACAGUCAUCUUGAGCAUGUCCCAUUCCUUUGCAUGUUGUGCAUUUAGUUUCUCGUUUCUUGACUGUUGGACAUUCACGAAUAAAGUGUCCAUACCCUUUACAUUCAUGACAUUGCAUGUCAGCUUUCUUUGAUGGUUUGGUAUCGUCAGAAUUCUUUUUGAAUGAUCCAAACUUCUUCUGUCCUUGUCCUUGUUCUGCUCUCUUCAACAACCGAUCAAACCUUCGAACUAACAGACUCAAUGAAUCUUCUUCUUUUGUUUGAGAUUUGCUUUCACAAGAUGUCAACGCCAACCCUUUUGGUUUCUUAGUUCCUCCUAAUUCAAGCUCAUGAGCCUGAAGCAUCCCUACAACUUCAGCAAAACUGAGAGUAUCAGUAUUAUUUGACACUGUUAGAGCUGUUUUGUACGCCAUAAAUCUCGGAGGUAGACAUCUUAGAAAUUUUUUGACCAACUUCUUGUCUUUAUACUUCUUCCCAAGAGUUAAAGCUUCUNNNNNNNNNNNNNNNNNNNNNNNNNNNNNNNNNNNNNNNNNNNNNNNNNNNNNNNNNNNNNNNNNNNNNNNNNNNNNNNNNNNNNNNNNNNNNNNNNNNNAAUAUCCCAACUUCCUAACAGUUCACACCCUGAAUUAAGUCAAGUUUUUCCUUCCAACACUGCAGUGAAUAGCUGUGAGAGCUCUAGCAUUGAAUUUAGACUUUUUCUUCUCAUCUUCAGUCCAGUCUGACUCGGGUUUGGCUGUGAAGCUUCCAUCUUCAUUCUUAAUUUGUGGUUCUUUCCAUUCUUCCAAGACAGCUUUCCAAGCUAACACAUCUAUCCCUCUUAUCACAGAUUUGAUUUUUGACUUCCAAAAACCAUAGUUACAAUCGUCUAGAACAACCUUCGCGUUUUUAAGCAGUUCUUGAUAGCUCUCCAUCUUUUCCACAAGACCUCACCUGUAUGUAAUCUUCACAAGCGACCGCUCUGAUACCAAUUGUAAAUGCAAGAGCUACUAAGUUUUGAAUUUGUUCACGAUGCAACUCAGAAUUUCUCAAAAACUCUUUCGAUUAAUAGAAAAUAUGUUUACAAGGUUUCUCCUUUAACACUAUUUUCUAUUAUCACUAAGUCUUGUUCCUUAAUCACAGACCGAUUAAGAACAAUAACUCUCCUUAAAACCCUUAGCUCUCUUUAAGCCUCUAGUUCUCUAUUUCUCUCAAACUAAGACUUAAUAGCUAGGAAUUCUCUCUCGUGAUUGUGCUAAGCUUUCUGCAAGCUUUAACACCCUAUUUAUACUAAAUAGGUUGAGACCAUACAACAGGUCGAUUUCCAAUUCUAAAACUAAUUGGAAUGGACAAUUUCCUUUUUCUUUAUGGAAUAGGAAAUUGUCCUUUGUCUUCAUGUUUUCCUUUUCUUCUUGCAAAAGGAAACUCUUCAGUCUUCUAGAAUCUUCUCUAAGCUUCUAGUCUUCACUUCAAACCGCCAUAAC